This is a non-coding RNA of Rattus norvegicus (Norway rat), 58 nucleotides long. The record is from Rfam. Lineage: Eukaryota; Metazoa; Chordata; Mammalia; Rodentia; Muridae.
UGGCUCAGUGGUUAAGAGCACUGGGUGCUCUCCCAGAGGUCCUGAGUUCAAUUCCCAG